RNAcentral lists this ribosomal RNA (459 nucleotides) under uncultured bacterium. RNAcentral's name for it is "partial 16S ribosomal RNA". It matches the Rfam family "Bacterial small subunit ribosomal RNA", at positions 338 to 795 of the family's 1533-position model. The record is from RNAcentral.
CCUACGGGAGGCAGCAGUGAGGAAUAUUGGUCAAUGGGCGUAAGCCUGAACCAGCCAAGUCGCGUGAGGGAUGAAGGUUCUAUGGAUCGUAAACCUCUUUUAUAAGGGAAUAAAGUGUGGGACGUGUCCUGUUUUGUAUGUAUCUUAUGAAUAAGGAUCGGCUAACUCCGUGCCAGCAGCCGCGGUAAUACGGAGGAUGCGAGCGUUAUCCGGAUUUAUUGGGUUUAAAGGGUGCGCAGGCGGAAUGUCAAGUCAGCGGUAAAAUUUCGGGGCUCAACCCCGUCGUGCCGUUGAAACUGGCGGUCUUGAGUGAGCGAGAAGUAUGCGGAAUGCGUGGUGUAGCGGUGAAAUGCAUAGAUAUCACGCAGAACUCCGAUUGCGAAGGCAGCAUACCGGCGCUCAACUGACGCUCAUGCACGAAAGCGUGGGUAUCGAACAGGAUUAGAUACCCCUGUAGUC